This 406-nucleotide ribosomal RNA is filed under the name uncultured bacterium. RNAcentral's name for it is "partial 16S ribosomal RNA". It matches the Rfam family "Bacterial small subunit ribosomal RNA", at positions 30 to 526 of the family's 1533-position model. The record is from RNAcentral.
AUUGAACGCUGGCGGCAGGCCUAACACAUGCAAGUCGGGCGAUCGGAGGACGGGCGAGUAAUGUAUGGAGACCUGCCUGAUGGAGGGGGCUCAAUACUGGAAACGGUAGCUCAUACCGCAUCCCAUCAGAUGAACCCAUAUGAGCUUAGCGUGUAGGUAAGGUAACGGCUUACCUAGGCGACGUUCCCUAGCUGGUCUGAGAGGAUGAUCAGCCACACUGGGACUGAGACACGGCCCAGACUCCUACGGGAGGCAGCAGUGGGGAAUAUUGCACAAUGGGCGCAAGCCUGAUGCAGCCAUGCCGCGUGUAUGAAGAAGGCCUUCGGGUUGUAAAGUACGUUCAGUCGGGAGGCGUUACCGACAGAAGAAGCACCGGCUAACUCCGUGCCAGCAGCCGCGGUAAUAC